UACGUAGGCAGCAAGCGUUGUUCGGAAUUACUGGGCGUAAAGAGUGUGUAGGUGGUGUCGUAAGUUUGGUGUGAAAUCUCCCGGCUUAACUGGGAGGGUGCGCCGAAGACUGCGAUGCUGGAGUAUGGGAGAGGAAAGCGGAAUUCCUGGUGUAGCGGUGAAAUGCGUAGAUAUCUGCAGGAACACCCGUGGCGAAAGAGGCGCGCUGGACCACUACUGACGCUGAGGAACGAAAGCUAGGGGAGCAAACAGG
RNAcentral lists this ribosomal RNA (253 nucleotides) under uncultured bacterium. RNAcentral's name for it is "partial 16S ribosomal RNA". It matches the Rfam family "Bacterial small subunit ribosomal RNA", at positions 524 to 776 of the family's 1533-position model. The record is from RNAcentral.